GGCAGGGAGGCAGGUAGAGUGAGCAGGCGCAGAUCAUCGGGUGCAACCGGCAUUCAUGGAAGAGGGAGCAUGUUGCGUGUGCAGGUUGGAUGCAUCUUUGUCAUCAGUUAUCCAGGAGAAGGACAGUGCUCCAUUCGGCACCCUAGGAACAAACAGGCUUGGAGGAAAGCAGACCUCAGAAGCCUGGAGGAAAGAGAGAAGCUGCCUAAACCUUGGCCAAGCCAAAGCAGACGGCCUCACAAGAUCAAGAUCCUCUCUUGCUUCUCUAGAGAAUGUGCUCCAUCAAAAAGAGAGAAUAAACCAAGAAGAGGAAGACAGAGGAUCCGGAAACAGGGAUGAUGGUGCACGGAAGUCCCAGGAUGACAGCUGUGCAUCAGGCCUUCAGCAGCCAGGAUGGGAGCAGAAGGAUGGGGAGCUCUGGGAGUGUCUCCAAGAAAGAAAAAGAAACUGAUCAAAUAUCUAAUUUUUAAAACAUAUUGAGGGGAAAUUUAUACUUCUGCAAUAAAUUUUAGGAUAUCGUAAUAGAAACUAAGAAAAUAACAAAUAAAAAAACAAAAAAACAAAAAACAAGGUAAUUAUCAACCGCGGGAGAAGAAAGGUUGUAUGAGAAAAGAAAUAAAAACAGAAUUCAGUACAUGG
RNAcentral lists this long non-coding RNA (639 nucleotides) under Homo sapiens (human). Its description in RNAcentral is "HSALNT0382261". Lineage: Eukaryota; Metazoa; Chordata; Mammalia; Primates; Hominidae. The record is from RNAcentral.